GGGCCGGUAGCUCAGCUUGGCUAGAGCACUCGACUGAUAAUCGAGAGGUCGAGGGUUCAAAUCCCUUCCGGCCCA
This 75-nucleotide transfer RNA is filed under the name Nitrososphaerota archaeon. RNAcentral's name for it is "tRNA-Ile". It matches the Rfam family "tRNA". From Rfam's summary of the family: Transfer RNA (tRNA) molecules are approximately 80 nucleotides in length. Lineage: Archaea; Thermoproteati; Nitrososphaerota. The record is from RNAcentral.